GUGCUCGCUUUGGCAGUACAUAUACUAACAUUGGAAUGAUACAGAGAUUAGCAUGGGCCCUGUGCAAGGAUGAUGUGCGAAUUCAUGUGAAGCCUUUCUUAUCA
Molecule: small nuclear RNA, 104 nt
Organism: Otolemur garnettii (small-eared galago)
Lineage: Eukaryota; Metazoa; Chordata; Mammalia; Primates; Galagidae
Source: Ensembl